Molecule: ribosomal RNA, 465 nt
Filed under: uncultured bacterium
Lineage: Bacteria
Description: partial 16S ribosomal RNA
Rfam family: Bacterial small subunit ribosomal RNA
Source: RNAcentral
GACGAACGCUGGCGGCGUGCUUAACACAUGCAAGUCGAACGGAAAGGCCCCUUUGGGGGUACUCGAGUGGCGAACGGGGGAGUAACACGUGAGUAACCUUCCCUUGACUUCGGGAUAACUUCAGGAAACUGGGGCUAAUACCGGAUAGGAAUCCUUGCUGCAUGGUGGGGGUUGGAAAGCUUCGGCGGUUUUGGGUGGACUCGCGGCUUAUCAGCUUGUUGGUGGGGUAGUGGCUUACCAAGGCUUUGACGGGUAGCCGGCCUGAGAGGGCGACCGGCCACAUUGGGACUGAGAUACGGCCCCGGCGCCUACGGGAGGGAGAAGUGGGGAAGAUUGAACAAGGGGCGGAAGCCUGAUGCAGAAACGCCGCGGGCGGGAUGACGGCCUUCGGGUGGUAAACCGCUUUCAGCAGGGGCGAAGCUUGUGGUGACGGUACCUGCAGAAGAAGCACCGGCUAACUACGUG